This 158-nucleotide ribosomal RNA is filed under the name Elsinoe fawcettii (citrus scab fungus). RNAcentral's name for it is "5.8S ribosomal RNA". It matches the Rfam family "5.8S ribosomal RNA". From Rfam's summary of the family: 5.8S ribosomal RNA (5.8S rRNA) is a component of the large subunit of the eukaryotic ribosome. It is transcribed by RNA polymerase I as part of the 45S precursor that also contains 18S and 28S rRNA. Lineage: Eukaryota; Fungi; Ascomycota; Dothideomycetes; Myriangiales; Elsinoaceae. The record is from RNAcentral.
AAACUUUCAACAACGGAUCUCUUGGUUCUGGCAUCGAUGAAGAGCGCAGCGAAAUGCGAUAAGUAAUGUGAAUUGCAGAAUUCAGUGAAUCAUCGAAUCUUUGAACGCACAUUGCGCCCCUUGGUAUUCCGAGGGGCAUGCCUGUUCGAGCGUCAUUU